RNAcentral lists this ribosomal RNA (324 nucleotides) under uncultured soil bacterium. Its description in RNAcentral is "bacterial SSU rRNA". It matches the Rfam family "Bacterial small subunit ribosomal RNA", at positions 26 to 319 of the family's 1533-position model. The record is from RNAcentral.
AGAAUCAACGCUGGCGGCGUGCCUAACACAUGCAAGUCGAACGCGAGAGGGGCUUCGGCCCUGAUUGAGUGGCAAACGGGUGAGUAACGCGUGGGUGACCUACCUUCGAGUGGGGGAUAACGUUCCGAAAGGGACGCUAAUACCGCAUGACAUCCUGUCUUUGGACAGAUGGAGAUCGAAAGGCCGGGGAUCGGUAAGACCGUGGCGCUUGGAGGGACGGGGCCCGCGUCCGAUUAGACCUAGGUUGGUAGGGGUAAUCGGCCCAACCGAAGGACAACGAUCGGUACGGCCGGCUGAGGAGGGCCGGACGACCGACACGUGGAC